AUGAACGCCCAGAAGACCUCGCCGCUCCCUCCCCGCCUCUGGCCAUGGCGCCCGCGCCGGCGACCGGACCUGACCUGCACCAUCUCUACCUUCCCCUCGCCCGUUGCCUCCUCCUCGUCGCUUGGACGCCGCCCCGCUGUGUCUUGUUGGACUGCGCCGCCCUGCGCGCGUGACCACACCGGCCUGCUACCGCUGCCGCCGAGCUCCACAGGACCCCACGCGGCCGCCCUUUUGCUUGCCCGCCUUGCCACACGUGACCCGCAUGGCCGCCGGCCAUGGAGGCCACCGUGCUGGCCUGCAGCUUCACGCGCGCUGCCGUGCCUUGCAGUUGCAGCUUCGUCCGACAGUGGACGACUUCUGUCGAGCUCGCCCUGUCACUUUCGACCUCGGCGUGGCCCUGCCUCCACUAGCAGCCUCCUGCUACCGGCCAUUUCCAUGGGUUCAGUGAGCCCCAAGUCAUGUCCGUGGCCUCGUGUCUGUUGA
This 483-nucleotide ribosomal RNA is filed under the name Triticum aestivum (bread wheat). RNAcentral describes it as "partial small subunit ribosomal RNA". The record is from RNAcentral. Lineage: Eukaryota; Viridiplantae; Streptophyta; Magnoliopsida; Poales; Poaceae.